Molecule: ribosomal RNA, 253 nt
Filed under: uncultured bacterium
Lineage: Bacteria
Description: partial 16S ribosomal RNA
Rfam family: Bacterial small subunit ribosomal RNA
Source: RNAcentral
UACGUAGGUGGCGAGCGUUAUCCGGAAUGAUUGGGCGUAAAGGGCGUGUAGCCGGGCUGACAAGUCAGAUGUGAAAUCCGGGGGCUCAACCCCCGAACUGCAUUUGAAACUGUUGGUCUUGAGUAUCGGAGAGGCAGGCGGAAUUCCUAGUGUAGCGGUGAAAUGCGUAGAUAUUAGGAGGAACACCAGUGGCGAAGGCGGCCUGCUGGACGACAACUGACGGUGAGGCGCGAAAGCGUGGGGAGCAAACAGG